UAGUUCGAUUCUGGCUCAGGAUGAACGCUGGCGGCGUGCUUAACACAUGCAAGUCGAACGGGAUCCAUCAAGUUUGCUUGGUGGUGAGAGUGGCGAACGGGUGAGUAAUGCGUGACCGACCUGCCCCAUACACCGGAAUAGCUCCUGGAAACGGGUGGUAAUGCCGGAUGCUCCGACUCCUCGCAUGGGGUGUCGGGAAAGAUUAUAUCGGUAUGGGAUGGGGUCGCGUCCUAUCAGGUAGUCGGCGGGGUAACGGCCCACCGAGCCUACGACGGGUAGCCGGCCUGAGAGGGCGACCGGCCACAUUGGGACUGAGAUACGGCCCAGACUCCUACGGGAGGCAGCAGUGGGGAAUAUUGCACAAUGGGCGCAAGCCUGAUGCAGCGACGCCGCGUGCGGGAUGACGGCCUUCGGGUUGUAAACCGCUUUUGAUCGGGAGCAAGCCUUCGGGUGAGUGUACCUUUCGAAUAAGCACCGGCUAACUACGUGCCAGCAGCCGCGGUAAUACGUAGGGUGCAAGCGUUAUCCGGAAUUAUUGGGCGUAAAGGGCUCGUAGGCGGUUCGUCGCGUCCGGUGUGAAAGUCCAUCGCUUAACGGUGGAUCUGCGCCGGGUACGGGCGGGCUGGAGUGCGGUAGGGGAGACUGGAAUUCCCGGUGUAACGGUGGAAUGUGUAGAUAUCGGGAAGAACACCAAUGGCGAAGGCAGGUCUCUGGGCCGUUACUGACGCUGAGGAGCGAAAGCGUGGGGAGCGAACAGGAUUAGAUACCCUGGUAGUCCACGCCGUAAACGGUGGAUGCUGGAUGUGGGGCCCGUUCCACGGGUUCCGUGUCGGAGCUAACGCGUUAAGCAUCCCGCCUGGGGAGUACGGCCGCAAGGCUAAAACUCAAAGAAAUUGACGGGGGCCCGCACAAGCGGCGGAGCAUGCGGAUUAAUUCGAUGCAACGCGAAGAACCUUACCUGGGCUUGACAUGUUCCCGACAGCCGUAGAGAUAUGGCCUCCCUUCGGGGCGGGUUCACAGGUGGUGCAUGGUCGUCGUCAGCUCGUGUCGUGAGAUGUUGGGUUAAGUCCCGCAACGAGCGCAACCCUCGCCCUGUGUUGCCAGCACGUCAUGGUGGGAACUCACGGGGGACCGCCGGGGUCAACUCGGAGGAAGGUGGGGAUGACGUCAGAUCAUCAUGCCCCUUACGUCCAGGGCUUCACGCAUGCUACAAUGGCCGGUACAACGGGAUGCGACACGGCGACGUGGAGCGGAUCCCUGAAAACCGGUCUCAGUUCGGAUUGGAGUCUGCAACCCGACUCCAUGAAGGCGGAGUCGCUAGUAAUCGCGGAUCAGCAACGCCGCGGUGAAUGCGUUCCCGGGCCUUGUACACACCGCCCGUCAAGUCAUGAAAGUGGGUAGCACCCGAAGCCGGUGGCCUAACCCUUUGUGGAUGGAGCCGUCUAAGGUGAGACUCGUGAUUGGGACUAAGUCGUAACAAGGUAUCC
This 1487-nucleotide ribosomal RNA is filed under the name uncultured bacterium. RNAcentral's name for it is "bacterial SSU rRNA". It matches the Rfam family "Bacterial small subunit ribosomal RNA". The record is from RNAcentral.